RNAcentral lists this ribosomal RNA (273 nucleotides) under uncultured prokaryote. RNAcentral's name for it is "partial 16S ribosomal RNA". It matches the Rfam family "Bacterial small subunit ribosomal RNA", at positions 524 to 796 of the family's 1533-position model. The record is from RNAcentral.
CACGUAGGGGGCAAGCGUUGUUCGGAAUUACUGGGCGUAAAGGGCAUGUAGGCGGUUCGGUAAGCCUGGCGUGAAAGGUCGCGGCUCAACUGCGACACUGCGCUGGGAACUGCUGGACUUGAGUCACGGAGGGGGAGCUAGAAUUCCGGGUGUAGGGGUGAAAUCUGUAGAUAUCCGGAAGAAUACCAGUGGCGAAGGCGAGCUCCUGGCCGAUGACUGACGCUGAGGUGCGAAAGCGUGGGGAGCAAACAGGAUUAGAAACCCCUGUAGUCC